CUCGGUGACCAAAGCGGAGUGGAACUACUCUUUUCCAUUUCGAACAGGACCGUAAAACGCUCCAGCGGGGACAAUACUUGUUGGGCAACUGACCGGGAAAAUACCUCGUUGCCGGGG
This 117-nucleotide ribosomal RNA is filed under the name Candidatus Gottesmanbacteria bacterium RIFCSPHIGHO2_01_FULL_42_12. Lineage: Bacteria; Candidatus Gottesmaniibacteriota. The record is from RNAcentral.